Molecule: long non-coding RNA, 658 nt
Organism: Erinaceus europaeus (western European hedgehog)
Lineage: Eukaryota; Metazoa; Chordata; Mammalia; Eulipotyphla; Erinaceidae
Exons: 3
Source: RefSeq, a predicted model, not a curated record
UCCUCCCGCAGGGGAGUUUAUCAAAAGUUGCAUGUAAGAGCAGUCUGCAGCCCAGAACCUGUCAAAGCGACCCGUCGUAUCUGUGGCUAAAAUAACUGGGUUUUUACGGAGAGCUGAAGAAAAGGAAAACGAACUUAUUUUCCAUUUGUUCACAAUGGGCCAGGUAUGAUGUCUUCGCCUUGGAUUCUAAAUCUGCAAGUGUAAUUAGUUCUCUUAGAAGGAGGUGGGAGAGAACGCAAGAAAAAAAAGUGCCGCCAAUGAAUGACAUAUCGAUCAGCCCAUAUUCUUCUGACUGCCACAUGAAGCCAAUGAAAGAUACCUGCUGGUGACCAAAUGAUGAUCAUGUAUAAAGCCACCAGGUUCCAGAUGCUAACAGGAUGUGACCAGACUUCCCUGGACAGACAACCCCACCAAUGUUCCUUGGAACUCCGCUUCCCAGAGCCCUUCCCCACUAGAGAAAGAGAGAGACAGUUUGGGAGUUUGCAUCGACCAGUCAAUGCCCAUGUUCAGUGGGGAAGCUAUUACAGAAGCCAGACUUUCAACCUUCUGCAUCCCACGAUGAUCUUAGGUCCAUACUCCCAGAGGGUUAAAGAGUAGGAAAGCUAUCAGGGGAGGGGUUGGUAUAUGGAGGUCUGGUGGUGGGAAUUGUGGGAAACUG